Long non-coding RNA from Rhagoletis zephyria (snowberry fruit fly), 2093 nucleotides. RefSeq lists it as uncharacterized. Lineage: Eukaryota; Metazoa; Arthropoda; Insecta; Diptera; Tephritidae. The record is from RefSeq and is a predicted model, not a curated record.
AACUAAAGCUCAGACUAAAAGAAGAAGAGCGAAAAAAGCUAUUUCUUAACUGUAUACUAGAUUUUAAUAAUGGAAAAAGAGGAUAAGGAUAAGGAUAAGGACAAAUACUAAGGAGAAGCCAAUGAAAAGAACAUGUUUUGUAGAAAAGAAAACAACGUAAAGAAAAAGCAGCGCUUCUUUCUGAUUUGCGUAUUCUGAAGAAAAGUUAAUCAAAUUACACUUGCGCACUUUGCAAUCAUGCGUUCCUCGAACUAUGGUUUUUGCUGACUUUAGUUUAAAAAUUUCGCAUAGCGCUUCUGCUUUUUAAAUCAUAAUUAUUUUUUAGUUAAUCGUUAUUUUUUGAAAUUCGUUGAAUUAAUCUCAUUACUCUAACAAGCAUUGCACUUAAAUUGAAAUAAAAAUCUAUACUUUAAAUAUUCGUUUGAGCGUGAAAGUCACAUUCCGUACAUUAAUUCUCAUACACAAUACAUUUUCGCCGCGUUUUGUUGACAUUUUUUUUUUUGAGCUUAGUCAUUUUAGCUAUUAACUCUUCGCAAGGGUUGAAUUCUUCUAACGAAAUUAACUAUUUUUUAAUUAUGAAAUUAAAAUAAAUUAAUUACCAAACGAAAUGAGACUUCGACAAAUAUGCGCGAUUUUUGUAAGCAUACGAAGAUAUUACGAUUUAUUAUUUUUCUUUUUAAAAUGUUUAUAACGAAGUAAUUUAGUAUUUAAAUUAUUAUUAAUGUUAUUUUAUGUAAUACACGCGUAUUACUAAAGAUUUAAAAGUGAAAUAUGUAAAAAAAAACGUAAAUUAAAGAUAAUUAAAGAAUGAAAAUUUAAAUCUAGUGCGUAAAUAAAAUGAUUCGUUUAAAGAAGUGUAGUCGCUGAGACCAAAUGAUAUUGUUGUUUGCUAAAAAGGUCAUUUUGGCAAAUAUUGUUAGCUACUAGCAAACUAUUAUUUUUGCUGCUAUGAAUGUGAAAUAAAUUAUUUUUUUUUAUUACUGACAUCGGUAAUUUGUGACAAAAUGGUUAAGGAUAAUCAGCAAGACAUUAAAAAAUCACGUAAUUAAAAGAGAAACGAAAGAUUUAAGCGUAAAACGGAAUAAGUGUUUACCAUUAAAAUGGAACAAAAAAAUCAUGAAAAAUUCCCGAAAAUGUAAUAAAUAUGAAAAUAUAAAAUCUAUCCCUGAAGACAAAUAUCCAUAUAUUAAUUCUACCAUAUUAAAUAGACAGUUUAUUUGUGUUUUAUGAGCAUAGAAGUUGAACAAAUGCGGUAAAUUGAACUAAAAUUCAACAUAACCAAAAAAAACAAAAAACAUUUAUCCUGGAAUUUUCACCUGCGAAGCGAAUAAAUUUGGCGAAGCGCACGGUUUGCUGAACACAGCUAAAAUUUGCAUAAAGAUCGUUCGCCACGCAAAGCAAUUUGUAAAAUCAAAAAAACUUUGUACAAACUUGUACAAGCGAACACUCUUAAUAUAAAUUUAAGGUGUGUUCGCCAAUCUGUUCUCUCGCAAGUGCCAAUACCAGCUUUAUAUAUUAAAUAACCAAAUUGUUAAAUGUAAUUACAAAGAAAUUUAAAGAGAGAAAUAAAUCAUUUGAAAGUUAAAAUAACUACCAAAUUCAUACAAAUCACAGACGGCUUUUCACAGAACUAAUUACUUAGUUUUGUGGACUAAAACUAAAAUGGCAUCAGCAAAACACUGCGCUUUAGUACUAAGGGCCAGUUUUUCAGUGGCAGUUUAAACUUAGAUCACUGAAAAACUGGCCCUACGAAACAACUUUUCAGCGAAAAAGUUUUCCCAUUAUAAAGACAAUUUAUAAUACUUUAACACAAUGUUAUUGCAGCAAUUUUAAUAACUAAGCAUUAUAAUUUACAAAAGCAAUUAUUGGUUUUAUAACCCUCUUUUAAAGAGAUUACUAAGCUUUUGCAAUAUUAAAAUGUAUACCAGUUACAGCUAUUUUACAACUACUUUAAAUGAUAUAGUCUUCUUCGUAAAACCUUUUGUGGCAUUUUGUUCGACUUUUUUUGCUCAAUUCAGACGCAAUUUUUCAAUAUGCAAAUAACCCAACAUACUUACCUAGUGUGUAAGCCUCAAAAUUAAUAUAUGUAUAUA